RNAcentral lists this small nucleolar RNA (138 nucleotides) under Dasypus novemcinctus (nine-banded armadillo). RNAcentral's name for it is "Small nucleolar RNA SNORA31 (ENSDNOG00000045305.1)". The record is from RNAcentral. Lineage: Eukaryota; Metazoa; Chordata; Mammalia; Cingulata; Dasypodidae.
UAGGCAUCUCUGAGGACCUGGAGCAGUUAAUGUCUGCUGCUGAGGUUUCCACUACACACCCAAGGACUCUGUAAGAAGGCCCUUGUACUUUCUGUCUGUCUGGUUGCGGCAGCCAAGAUGGAAUGGGGGAAUACAGGA